RNAcentral lists this small RNA (176 nucleotides) under Marmota monax (woodchuck). The record is from RNAcentral. Lineage: Eukaryota; Metazoa; Chordata; Mammalia; Rodentia; Sciuridae.
CAGCCUUAAAAAGCAAUCAGGCAAAGCUGUUGUUGAAAUCUGAAUAAUUAGUAUCCAUUGACUAUAAUAUUAAUUAUUUAUUCUUACAAAUUGAAAAUAUAUUUCAUUUGUGUGUGUGUGUGUGUGUGUGUUUGGUACUGGGGAAUGAACUCAGGGGUUAUUUACCACUGAGCUGA